CACAAUUCGCCAAGCGUCGGAUUGUUCACCCGCUAAUAGGGAACGUGAGCUGGGUUUAGACCGUCGUGAGACAGGUUAGUUUUACCCUACUGAUGGGACGUCGUUGCUAUAGUAAUCCUGCUUAGUACGAGAGGAACCGCAGGUUCGGACAAUUGGUACACGCACUCGGUUGACACGCCGCUGGUGCGACGCUACCAUCCGAGGGAUUAGGCCUGAACGCCUCUAAGACCGAAUCCCGACUAUACGCAAUGAUAUAACGAUGGGUCCCGUGAGUCGAGAGGCUCAAUGCAAUGUGACUCUAUUAGGUGGUCGGUCUCGUGCCGGCCAUCGCUCGAGCCCUGUGGCCGGGGUGCCCUCGUGUGGAGAGGUGCCGGUACAUUCCGGACGCCUCUUCCGGUGCUCUGGCGUAACAUGGUUCAACCCCCUCCACGGGGGAGUUCGAUGUCGGGACCUUGAAUCGUCUGUAGACG
This 470-nucleotide ribosomal RNA is filed under the name Euthochtha galeator. RNAcentral's name for it is "partial large subunit ribosomal RNA". The stretch from base 1 to 265 matches the Rfam family "Eukaryotic large subunit ribosomal RNA", at positions 2908 to 3401 of the family's 3401-position model. Lineage: Eukaryota; Metazoa; Arthropoda; Insecta; Hemiptera; Coreidae. The record is from RNAcentral.